Molecule: ribosomal RNA, 639 nt
Filed under: Centropomus robalito
Lineage: Eukaryota; Metazoa; Chordata; Actinopteri; Centropomidae
Description: partial 16S ribosomal RNA
Rfam family: Bacterial large subunit ribosomal RNA
Source: RNAcentral
CGCCUGUUUAUCAAAAACAUCGCCUUUUGUAUUACCAAAAAUAAGAGGUCCUGCCUGCCCAGUGAAUCCUUUAUCAACGGCCGCGGUAUUUUGACCGUGCAAAGGUAGCGUAAUCAUUUGUCUUUUAAAUGAAGACCUGUAUGAACGGCUCAACGAGGGCUUGACUGUCUCCUUUUUCUGGUCAAUGAAAUUGAUCUCCCCGUGCAAAAGCGGGGAUACAUCCAUAAGACGAGAAGACCCUAUGGAGCUUUAGAUGUGACGCAAGCCCUAUCUGCUGCUUCCAAAUAAAAGAAUCAACACACUAGCUUCUGCCUCAACAUCUUCGGUUGGGGUGACCAUGGGGAACAAAAAACCCCCACGUCCCUGUACUGGAGUCUUUUUCUUAAAAAAUCUUUUCCACCAAACUCAUUAAAACGAGAGUCGCAACUCUAAUUAACAGAACCUCUGACUAAUGAUCCGGCAAUGCCGAUUAACGAACCAAGUUACCCUAGGGAUAACAGCGCAAUCCCCUUCCAGAGUCCAUAUCGACAAGGGGGCUUACGACCUCGAUGUUGGAUCAGGACAUCCUAAUGGUGCARCCGCUAUUAAGGGUUCGUUUGUUCAACGAUUAAAGCCCUACGUGAUCUGAGUUCAGACCGG